RNAcentral lists this ribosomal RNA (305 nucleotides) under uncultured bacterium. RNAcentral describes it as "bacterial SSU rRNA". It matches the Rfam family "Bacterial small subunit ribosomal RNA", at positions 335 to 658 of the family's 1533-position model. The record is from RNAcentral.
GGGCCUACGGGGGGCAGCAGUGGGAAUAUUGCACAAUGGAGGAAACUCUGAUGCAGCGAUGCCGCGUGAGGGAAGAAGGUUUUCGGAUUGUAAACCUCUGUCUUAAGGGACGAUAAUGACGGUACCUUAGGAGGAAGCUCCGGCUAACUACGUGCCAGCAGCCGCGGUAAUACGUAGGGAGCGAGCGUUGUCCGGAAUUACUGGGUGUAAAGGGAGUGUAGGCGGGAUGGUAAGUUAGGUGUGAAAUGCGGAGGCUCAACCUCCGAGCUGCACUUAAAACUGCUGUUCUUGAGUGAAGUAGAGGU